AACGAACGUUGGCGGCGUGGAUUAGGCAUGCAAGUCGAACGAAUCCCAGUUUUGUAGCAAUACCGAGCUGGGGGAAGUGGCGAAAGGGGCAGUAAUGUAUGGGUAACCUACCCGGGGGUCGUGGAUAGCCGUCCUAACGGACGGGUAAUACACGGCGAUUCGGCGGAGCGGCAUCGCUCUGUCGGGAAAGAACCUCGCCUCCGGAGGGGCUCAUAUCGUAUUAGCUAGUUGGUGGGGUAAUGGCCCACCAAGGCGAAGAUGCGUAGCGGGUGUGAGAGCACGACCCGCGCCACUGGCACUGAGACACUGGCCAGACACCUACGGGUGGCUGCAGUCGAGGAUCUUCGGCAAUGAGCGCAAGCUUGACCGAGCGACGCCGCGUGGACGAUGAAGGCCUUCGGGUUGUAAAGUCCUGUCGAGGGGGAUCAAGGGAAACUUGAGUGAUCCCUGGAGGAAGCACGGGCUAAGUUCGUG
RNAcentral lists this ribosomal RNA (474 nucleotides) under uncultured organism. RNAcentral describes it as "bacterial SSU rRNA". It matches the Rfam family "Bacterial small subunit ribosomal RNA", at positions 28 to 507 of the family's 1533-position model. The record is from RNAcentral.